This 467-nucleotide ribosomal RNA is filed under the name uncultured bacterium. Its description in RNAcentral is "partial 16S ribosomal RNA". It matches the Rfam family "Bacterial small subunit ribosomal RNA", at positions 28 to 507 of the family's 1533-position model. The record is from RNAcentral.
GACGAACGCUGGCGGCGUGCUUAACACAUGCAAGUCGAACGGAAAGGCCCAAGCUUUGUUGGGUACUCGAGUGGCGAACGCGUGAGUAUCACGCGUGUGGUCUGCCCUGCACUUCGGGAGACACCUUGGGAACUGGGACUAUUACCGGAUAUGACAACAUUAUACACGGUGUUGUAGAAAGAAUUUCGGGGUGGGAUGAGCUCGCGGUCUAUCCGCUUGUUGUGGGGGUGAUGGCUUACCAAGGCGUCGCCGGGUAGCUGCUCCGUGAGAGUGUACGGCGACAUUGAGACUGAGAUGCGGCCCAGACACCGACGGGAGGGAGAAGGGGGAAAGACUGCCCAAUGAGCGCAAGCCUGAUGAAGCGAGGCCGCGGGGGGGAUGACGGCCUUCGUGGUGUAGACCCCUGUCGCUAGGGAAGAGGCGAUUUUGUGACGGUACCUGGAGAAGAAGCAACGGCUAACUACGUG